Molecule: long non-coding RNA, 529 nt
Organism: Ornithodoros turicata
Lineage: Eukaryota; Metazoa; Arthropoda; Arachnida; Ixodida; Argasidae
Exons: 3
Source: RefSeq, a predicted model, not a curated record
GACGUCACAUAGCAUUGGGAGGCCGGCGCCCCCUCUCCCGGCAACUUCGAUGCGUCCCGAGCUGAAGUUUCACGGCGCCCGGGCCACGACACCCGUAGUGUAGGUACUGAACAUCCUUGAUUAGAAGCACGAUGUUCUUUCUCCUGUGGCAGGAAUGGGUGCUCUCACAUCAUUUGGGUGUCAGGUUCAACCAUUGGCCACUCCGUCUUGUUCCAACUUGCGUUCUUCUUGACGCUUUUUCUUUCUCCGCGGCAUUCUUUUCAUAUUUCGCUUUCAGUUCGCGAUACAUUCAGUAAAUGUGUACAGUAUCCGUCGCGGAAAGUCAAGUGCCGAAGCCACCGAUUGCUUGCAACGUAAAGUGGAGCGGGACCGACGAAAGAAAAGCGAAAUAUUGGAAGAGGAUGAAAUCAAAGAUGAGCAAAGGAAGAGACAUCGGAUUUGAAAUCUGACUCAGCAUCUGAAUGCAAAUGAGAUUCCCGUUCUGUUACCUGUAGGAGGAGGAAAAUAAAUAAAACAAGAUUAAACAGUG